This 331-nucleotide long non-coding RNA is filed under the name Phaseolus vulgaris (common bean). RNAcentral describes it as "long non-coding RNA (PVUL_LNC003808)". Lineage: Eukaryota; Viridiplantae; Streptophyta; Magnoliopsida; Fabales; Fabaceae. The record is from RNAcentral.
GAGCUGUGGAAUGAGAAGAGCAGUGGGAAGUAUGAGAAGAAGGUAUAUGUUUUGCCGAAGCACCUUGAUGAGAAGGUGGCUGCACUUCACCUUGGGAAGCUUGGAGCUAGGCUCACGAAGCUUAGCAAGGAUCAGGCUGAUUACAUCAGUGUGGCUGUUGAGGGUCCAUACAAGCCUACUCACUACAGGUACUAAGGUUGUUGUGAUGAUGAUGAAUGGAGAGCGAAAGCAAAACUGGUUCAUGGAGUGGCUUGAUUGUUUCAUUUUCUUUGAAUUUUUUGUGCUAGAACUUCACAUCCAUGGUAGAAGAACAAUUGUUUUCUGAAUUUUG